UGUAAUUUUCCACUGCUUUCUACAAGGACAGGAAUUACUUUUUUCUCAGCACAGCUCUGCAUCACUCUGUGAUCCUGUGAGCGUAAUCCCUUGGCACUAAAGCCUCUUAUUGACAAUGCAGUAAACCUGUUCCACAAGCAUCAGAAAAGCGAAAUAAAAGAUGUUCCAAAUUUGUGUUUGGCAAAAUAUGACACUGAAAUCAAUUAAAUGUUUCCAGAUCAAUAGGAACUUCAGUCAAUAAACCUUCCAUCAGAACAAUGUCUAGCAGACCUGUUGACAGCAUUCGAAAGCUCAUGAUUUAAAAUCUCUGUUGGGGUUGUUAUUAAAGCUGUUACUCAGUUCCUUAUCUAUUUGCUGCAACUCGUGGUCAUCAUUUGUGGGGUCAGCCUGAAGGUCUUGACUGAAAAUUUUGGCUGUUGCACAUAAAACUUAAUUACGAGGUCAGAGACAAGAACUUGUUUGUUGGGGAUUUACAAGAGGAACAUAAAAGCUUUUGAGAUUUUGCUUCAGAAGACAGAUGCUGUUAGGAGUGAUGUUGCCUUUUGUAUUCAGGGGCUAUGUCAUUCCUGCAGUCAAAGGCUUGAAUUCCAUCUCUGUUUAAUUAACCCAAAGCCAAAUUCUGCUGAAAAUAUCCUCAGAAUUUGGGGAAGCUUCCUUCCAGAGUCAGCCAAGUAAUUCUAGGAACAGUUUAACCUGCUGCAUCCUAAGGUCUUGAUUCAGUAGGCAGGAACUCAUUCAGCAUUGAAUUCAUUGCCAAACUCAAGUUCAGAAGCUAUCAGUGAAUCUAAUUUCUGAAGGAUGAAGGCACUGAAUUACAUCCAUAAAUCUUCCUCUGCAGCAGACAAUGAGGACCAAGACAGAAUCAGAGGAAGAGAGCUCACAAAUUCCAGUUGCCAUGUGGGCUGCUGAAGCCUCUGACCUUCCUGAAGGGCAAGAGGGAAAAGUUUCUGUGUGCCUCUGAAACACUGUCAGGCAGGACUAACAACUGCCCACCACAGAUGAGGAAACCCUCUAAAUACUAAGACUUCUCUAGGGACACAAAUUUCCACAGUCCAGCUACUGCUGAAGGUGCUUUGAACUGUACUGGCUGAUGCAGGCCCACACUAGUGAUAUGCUUGUGUCUCUUCGUUCUUUAAAAUAAAAUAAAUCACAUCCCUCCUGGAUUUACGUUGGUC
RNAcentral lists this long non-coding RNA (1175 nucleotides) under Strigops habroptila (Kakapo). Its description in RNAcentral is "lncRNA (ENSSHBG00005012793.1)". The record is from RNAcentral. Lineage: Eukaryota; Metazoa; Chordata; Aves; Psittaciformes; Psittacidae.